ACAACAUUUCUCUUCUCCAAACUGGGCACUUUACCCACACCUGAGCCAAGCAGCCAGCAGACCUAAAUAGCCAGAUCACUUGCAUUCAGUAAGGCUCUGCUGCCCUUAACUAUGUGCUCUGUCCCAGAGGAGGUGAGUGCUGAAGCAAGUGGGGCCCAUGUGGUCACAGCGUACCUGUGCGUCGCCAGUGAAGUUGCCUGCAGUUCUGCCCAGAGGCAGCCCGAGUACAACUAAAACCCCGGGCCGUUACAUACAAAGUAAACACAAGAGGCUCUGAAAGGGGAAAAGGAGGCAGAUGAUGAGGGACUUCAGGAACAGAAGAGCUGCCUGAUGCUACCACCUCGGUCCAGCUACCACUGCUUCUUGCCUGGGUAACUGCAGCAGCCCCUUAAGUGGUUUCCCCUCAUGGUUCAUCGUUCUGCUCUCAACACAGCAGCCAAAGUGACCUUGCUGACACAAAGCCCAUCAUGUUACUCCUCUAACCCAAACUCUCCAAACUCAAGAGUAAAAACUAAGUCCUAAGCCAGGUUUUACAUGAGCUAUUCCACCUGCUCCCCAAUGUCCAAUACCUAUUUCACAUUCUCUCUCACUCCUGUUCUCUUCGUUCAAUCUUCUCUACCCAGAUUAGCUUCCUUGGUCUUCCUACAAGAUAACAGACGUGUUCCUUCCUCAUGGCCUUUGCACUUCUAGUACUCCUACUCUAGGAAUGAAUACGUUUACUCUCCUACUCCAUUCAUGUUAGAUUUGGACAUAGGAAUUGAUUUAGCCAGUGCAAUGAUACAUGGGAACUUUAAACAUACUUUCAUGGUUUGGUGUGCCUCCUGAACUCUUGGUGAUUUACCAUGAGAGAACAUGCCCCAGCUGGCUGCUGGUGUCUAUGGAGAAGGAAGAAAUGUAGACCAGAUCUGAAUCAGCCCACAGUCUGGACAUGAGUUCAGUGGACUCCUGGUCAGUCCAAUAUAGCCAUGAAAGUGAAAGUGAAAGUGAAGUCACUCAGUCGUGUCCGGCAUGGGAUUUUCCAGGCAAG
Odocoileus virginianus texanus is the source of this 1027-nucleotide long non-coding RNA. RefSeq lists it as uncharacterized. Lineage: Eukaryota; Metazoa; Chordata; Mammalia; Artiodactyla; Cervidae. The record is from RefSeq and is a predicted model, not a curated record.